RNAcentral lists this small RNA (242 nucleotides) under Pseudarthrobacter phenanthrenivorans. Its description in RNAcentral is "c-di-AMP sequence". It matches the Rfam family "c-di-AMP riboswitch aptamer (ydaO/yuaA leader)". Rfam says of the family: This family represents a conserved RNA structure found upstream of the ydaO and yuaA genes in Bacillus subtilis and related genes in other bacteria. The ydaO/yuaA element is thought to act as a genetic "off" switch for the ydaO and yuaA genes in its native state. It is believed that the element may be triggered during osmotic shock leading to activation of ydaO, a predicted amino acid transporter gene, and members of the yuaA-yubG operon which code for KtrA and KtrB K+ transporters. Lineage: Bacteria; Bacillati; Actinomycetota; Actinomycetes; Micrococcales; Micrococcaceae. The record is from RNAcentral.
CCUGAUCCGGAGCCGAGCUCUGCCAGCGGAUCAGGUGCACGAGUCAUAACUGGCAGAGGCGGGGGAACCACAAGCGGCAGCCGGGGGACUGCCUUGGGGUGAAGUCCGUCAGCAGCAAGCCUCUUCCAGCGAAGGAUCCCUCGGGGAUAUCUCUGUGCCGAGCUUGCUUACGGCGGACCGGGUCUUUGAACUCUCUGACCCGAAUCCGACAGCUAACUUCGCAGGCUUUCCAGAGAGGAACC